RNAcentral lists this ribosomal RNA (496 nucleotides) under uncultured bacterium. RNAcentral's name for it is "partial 16S ribosomal RNA". It matches the Rfam family "Bacterial small subunit ribosomal RNA", at positions 28 to 507 of the family's 1533-position model. The record is from RNAcentral.
GAUGAACGCUGGCGGCGUGCCUAAUACAUGCAAGUCGAGCGAACAGACGAGGAGCUUGCUCCUCUGACGUUGGGGCGGACGGGUGAGUAACACGUGGAUAACCUACCUAUAAGACUGGGAUAACUUCGGGAAACCGGAGCUAAUACCGGAUAAUAUAUUGAACCGCAUGGUUCAAUAGUGAAAGACGGUUUUGCUGUCACUUAUAGAUGGAUCCGCGCCGCAUUAGCUAGUUGGCAAGGUAACGGCUUACCAAGGCAACGAUGCGUAGCCGACCUGAGAGGGUGAUCGGCCACACUGGAACUGAGACACGGUCCAGACUCCUACGGGAGGCAGCAGUAGGGAAUCUUCCGCAAUGGGCGAAAGCCUGACGGAGCAACGCCGCGUGAGUGAUGAAGGUCUUCGGAUCGUAAAACUCUGUUAUUAGGGAAGAACAAAUGUGUAAGUAACUAUGCACGUCUUGACGGUACCUAAUCAGAAAGCCACGGCUAACUACGUG